GACGAACGCUGGCGGCGUGCCUAAUACAUGCAAGUAGAACGCUGAAGAGAGGAGCUUGCUCUUCUUGGAUGAGUUGCGAACGGGUGAGUAACGCGUAGGUAACCUGCCUUGUAGCGGGGGAUAACUAUUGGAAACGAUAGCUAAUACCGCAUAACAAUGGAUGACACAUGUCAUUUAUUUGAAAGGGGCAAUUGCUCCACUACAAGAUGGACCUGCGUUGUAUUAGCUAGUAGGUGAGGUAACGGCUCACCUAGGCGACGAUACAUAGCCGACCUGAGAGGGUGAUCGGCCACACUGGGACUGAGACACGGCCCAGACUCCUACGGGAGGCAGCAGUAGGGAAUCUUCGGCAAUGGGGGCAACCCUGACCGAGCAACGCCGCGUGAGUGAAGAAGGUUUUCGGACCGUAAAGCUCUGUUGUAAGUCAAGAACGAGUGUGAGAGUGGAAAGUUCACACUGUGACGGUAGCUUACCAGAAAGAGACGGCUAACUACGUG
This 497-nucleotide ribosomal RNA is filed under the name uncultured bacterium. Its description in RNAcentral is "partial 16S ribosomal RNA". It matches the Rfam family "Bacterial small subunit ribosomal RNA", at positions 28 to 507 of the family's 1533-position model. The record is from RNAcentral.